UGCGUGCGUCUUGCGCGCGCUUACAUGCCGGUUUGUAUGGGCCGGCGUGCUUGCGUGUGUCUAGUGCGUACGUGUUUUGUGAGCGUGUUUGUGUGGGUCACUGUGUGUGCGUGCGCGUGUUAGCGUGUCUGCCUGCAUGUAUGUGCGAUUGUUUGUGUUUAUCAAUGUGCGCGUGCGUGCCUUUGUGUCUGCGCUUUGAGAGUGCGUAUAUUUGUGUGCGCGCGAGUGCGUUUUGUGUGCGUGCGUAUGUAUUGCAUAAGGCCGGUAGAGUUUUACUCGCAAUAAAACUCUUCCAAUUUGGUGCAGCGAGUGUUGCCGCCUGAAAGCCGAGUUUGGUUUCAAGCCAACCUGGACAACUGCUGUAUGAGGCGCUGUUUCUCAGGAGGAUCAGUGGGAAGGCGUCAGGUCAUGCAGAUGAUAGCAUCAAUUUCACAAUGCCCAGCCUUGGUGCCCUCCAUUAAGAGCAAGCCACUUGCAUUCACCUUCAGGCAGAUGGUUGAUGUCUUCUAGGAAGCAGUUGGGAAGACUACAUUGAUGCAAGAUUCCAGCAAUGCCAUGCGCUGCAUUUAUUGGUCAAGAUGCUCAGAGAAUGGAGUCCCUGCACCUCGUGGUGAAACGUGAACAUUUUCUUUCUUUUGGAAAGCUAAACGUCAUUUGCUGUAUCAAUUGCAUUCUUGCAGCUCAGAUGUGUACUAUAUUUUUUCUAAUUUUGAAUCAAUUAAUAUUCACUGUUCAGUAUAAAAAUGACGUACAGUGUGAAGGACAAGGACUGCGAGAGAUGACAUACACUGCGCUGACUUCCAACAAUAUUUUAUUGCGUUGCCACAUCGUGUGUUUAUACACAAGAAGGGCCAUGCGCAGAAAAUGAAAGGCAGUCACAAGGGGUGUUCUAACAGCAAGUCAUUGUACUAAGAACAUGGUCACUAAAAAAAAAUCACAAUUUCUAUCUGUGGAGAUACAAGACUUCACUAGGGGUCAGCGUGAUAGAGGGGGCACUAAUGCACACACUACCCAUUUUUCUGGUGAAAUAAGCUUCAAUAAUGUACCGGGUGAGCUGUGUUUCGCUAGAACUUGCGUAUCUUCAAAGGGGGGCAUGCAGCGGCAGUCCCGGCAAUGAAUGCCCAAGUGGCCUUGAACAGUGUUAUGGACGUUAUAGUGCACUCUUAAACGAUCAUUUAGGCACCUGCCUGUCCGUCCAAUAAAUUUACUGCUUCAAAACGGGAAUAUGGUAAACCACAUUCGUUACACAUAUCGCAAAACGUUUUCUGUGCCCGACAGAGCAAGAACUCUGACACGAUUUAGGCGCGUUUACACGCUUACAGAGCUUUGCCAGCUUUUCCGGGGCUGAGAAAAGGACUGGGAUUCCUGGAGGUUGCCAAAUCUUUUUUUAGCCUAUGGGAGACAUCAUGCACAUACGGUAGCACUGCGAACCAGUCUUUCAACCGGCUGGUUCCUUGACUGAGUGCGCUCAUCACGUUUUGUGCCCUUCAGAAGCUGUUCCACUAUGGCUGAAAUUAGGGCCAAAGGGUAGCCAACCCAAGAAAGGCGAUCGACCU
Molecule: long non-coding RNA, 1556 nt
Filed under: Dermacentor andersoni
Lineage: Eukaryota; Metazoa; Arthropoda; Arachnida; Ixodida; Ixodidae
Description: uncharacterized LOC126520651
Source: RNAcentral